ACAAGAAAUAACAAUACAAGGCAGUUAAAAUGCUUUGUAAUUGGAAUGAUAGAAAUUUAAACACUUUUUAAAGUAUCAAUUGGAGGGCAAGUCUGGUGCCAGCAGCCGCGGUAAUUCCAGCUCCAAUAGCGUAUAUUAAAAUUGUUGCAGUUAAAAAGCUCGUAGUUGAAUUUCUGUUAAAAAUAACCGGUCUGCUUUUAAUAAAAGUGGUAUCUUGGUGUGUUUUUAGCAAUAAUGUCCUUUGAAAUGUUUUUUACUUUAUUGUAAUAAAUAAUAUUCAGGAUUUUUACUUUGAGAAAAUUAGAGUGUUUCUAGCAGGCUAACGCUUUGAAUACUGCAGCAUGGAAUAAUAAGAUAGGAUUUUAGUUCUACAUUAUUGGUUUUAAGAACUAAAUUAAUGAUUGAUAGGGACAGUUGGGGGCAUUUGUAUUUAACUGUCAGAGGUGAAAUUCUUAGAUUUGUUAAAGACAAACUACUGCGAAAGCAUUUGCCAAAGAUGUUUUCAUUAAUCAAGAACGAAAGUUAGGGGAUCGAAGACGAUCAGAUACCGUCGUAGUCUUAACUAUAAACUAUGCCGACUAG
This 582-nucleotide ribosomal RNA is filed under the name Hepatozoon felis. RNAcentral describes it as "bacterial SSU rRNA". It matches the Rfam family "Eukaryotic small subunit ribosomal RNA", at positions 470 to 1049 of the family's 1831-position model. Lineage: Eukaryota; Apicomplexa; Hepatozoidae. The record is from RNAcentral.